AUACGUAGGUGACAAGCGUUAUCCGGAUUUACUGGGUGUAAAGGGAGCGUAGGCGGGAGUGCAAGUCAGAUGUGAAAUACAUGGGCUCAACCCAUGGGAUGCAUUUGAAACUGCAUUUCUUGAGUGAAGUAGAGGGAAGCGGAAUUCCUGGUGUAGCGGUGAAAUGCGUAGAUAUCAGGAGGAACACCGGUGGCGAAGGCGGCUUACUGGGCUUUUACUGACGCUGAGGCUCGAAAGCGUGGGGAGCAAACAGGAUUAGAUACCCUGGUAGUCCACGCUGUAAACGAUGAUUACUAGGUGUGGGGGGACUGACCCCUUCCGUGCCGCAGUUAACACAAUAAGCAUUCCGCCUGGGGAGUACGGCCGCAAGGUUGAAACUCAAAUGAAUUGACGGGG
This 396-nucleotide ribosomal RNA is filed under the name uncultured bacterium. RNAcentral describes it as "partial 16S ribosomal RNA". It matches the Rfam family "Bacterial small subunit ribosomal RNA", at positions 523 to 918 of the family's 1533-position model. The record is from RNAcentral.